AUGACAGGCCGCCAGGCCGGAGAGCUGCCCACCUCUUCCCGACAUCGCUCGAUCAUGGCGUCGUCGGCGGAGCCGCCGCCGAAGAAGCGGAAGCUCGUAGAGGCCCAGACCCCGAGCCCCUCAGGCACUCCGCGGCCGCCCCCGCCUCUGCCCCCAGGCCUCCCCCCUACCCCGCCGCCCCCCGAAACCCUAGCAGCGGCGGCGCCCUCCGCCCCACCACCUCCCCCUCAGUCGCCGCCGCCGACACCGGAGGAACUCCACCGCAAGCGCAGCAACCGGGAGGAGCUGCGCAAACUCUUCGAGUGCUACCGCCGCAUCCGCCUCUGCGUGGAGCGCAAGGACGCGCGUCUCAUGCCCGAGCUCGAGCAGGUCUACCUCGCCCUCAUCACCGCGUCCCGAGGUUGCACAAGUGUACAACGUAUCUUAGCUAAGCUGAUUCCUCAAUAUGCCUCGUAUUGUCCUACUGCACUUGAGGCAGCUGCUAAAGUCUCCAUCAAGAUGUACAAUUGGAACUUGGCCAUUGUAACAAGAGGGGAGGAUGCAGAUGGUGUGGCAUAUCGGACUGCUAGGGCUUGUAUUGUUGGCUUAGUUGACAUAUGCUCCACAGCAUCUCUUGAAGCUCCCAAGUCAUCUGUUAUCACAGGAAUCUGCUCUGCAGUCUAUAUGACUGUUCUCACUUUCUUCAUUUCAACAUUUGAUGGGAAGGAUAUCCAUCAUAUAGGCUCCAGAAGACUUUCAAAGCUUCAGGACCCCAUGGAGUUAUUAGAGAUUUUAAAGCAGGAGUCAGGGGAUGAUAGCCAACUGGCGCAUGAUUGUUUGUUUGAACUGAGGGCACAAUCCUUGCUAUGCAUAUUUCUUUUAUCCCCAGAGAACCUAUUAGAAGCAUGUUUUGCGUUGAUUGCUUCUGCAGAAACUGACCAUAUAAGAGGACUGUACUUUUUAAAUCAGCUGACCUGCAAUAUGAGCAAUGGUAUCUCAGAUCUUGCUCUGGACAAUAACGCUGAUGUGGCCUCACAGUGUACUGAGAUGGAAAUAGAUCUGUCUGGCACCAAAGAGAUUGUUGAUUCAAAGCCUUCUUCUGAUGCGUCUGGCGUUUCAGGAAGGUCUAUGGUAGAAUCAAAUGAGUGUUACAUCACAAUGGCAAUAUCUAGACAUCCAUCUUUGAGAGGUUGGCUACUGCGGAGGUACAAAAAGUUAUGCGAUUCCUGUGGAUCUACUGUGCUUUCAGAGGUAUCAUCUUGUUUAAAAGUUUUGGGCUCUUUAUCAGAACUUGACGAGGAUAAAAGUUCCAUGGACUGUGAACCAUCAGUGCUGGAGAAGCCUGACAAAAGUGCAGGAGAAAAAACUGUCAAUAUUGAUACCCAUGUAUUAAAGUCUGUGCAGACAGAUGAUGUGAAAACUGAGAAGCUAGCAGAUGCGAAAACUGGUGGCCGCAAGAGUGCAAGACCUGAUCUUUAUGUUGCUUCUGUCUCGAGCGAUGUAAUUUCGGUCUCAAAGGAACUUUGGGUUGGUUCACUGGGGAAUAGUGCUGCAGAGGCACUAGUUCGAUCUAAAUUCGAGGAGUUUGGCCCAUUAACGAACUUUUUAUUUUAUCCUUCCAAAGAAUUUGCCUUGAUUGAAUAUGGAAACAUAGUGCACGCUGUUCGGGCAUGUGGAUAUAUGCGGGGCUCCUCUAUUUGGGGUGGUGAUCUUCAAAUAAGGUAUUUAGAUAGACUUAUAGGUAGCAAGGGAUUUGUUGGUGGUAUAGCUGUUGGUGAAAGUUGCCAUAUUUAUGUUGGUAAAGUCAAGAAUCAGAAAGAAAAAGAUGAGGUGUUCGAUGAAUUGAAGUCAGCAGGCCUGAAGAGGCCAUGUGGCUGUAUCGAUAUCUCGGGCGAAAAUGCUUUCAUUCUUGAAUUUGAGACAUCAGUUGAUGCAGCUGUUGCAAAAGCCCAUAUUAGGCGCCAAGCUCAUUCAGAUGUUUGUUCCCAGGAUAAGAAUACAUCUGUUCAUCAACUUUUGGUACAUAACAUGGACAAGUCAAUCCCUGAGACGGAAUUUAUCAAUGCUUUCUCACGAUUUGGUGAGGUCAGUAGGUGGCAGUUUAAUCGGAUUGAUGGGAGCUGCUUGAUAGAUUAUGAAUCACACAGUGCUGCUGCCUGUGCAAAGUCGCAGAUGCAUGGUGCAAGGUUUGGCUUGAAGUUGAUUAGUGUUGAAUCUAGGACAUGCAGCGUAGGAGCUGUUCACGAUAAAACAUUUUCACCUGUUAUUCGAAUGCCAGCCCAGAACCUUCCGGACAGCAGCAGUCACCAUGAGAUCAGUGAUGGGAACAUAUGCAGGAAUCCAAGGGUUUCAGCUUAUCAUACAGGUUACACAGUACAAGGGGAUCGGCCAAUAUAUGGUCCACCACCUCCCAAUACACAACAAUUAUGGCAGUACAAGGAUCUAGAGUCAAACAGGGCUCCACAAGGAAUGCCUCCCUGCCCACCUGUUUCUGCACAUCGUUCUUCUGUAAUGCCACCACCACCACCUCCUAUCCAAACUUCUUUUGUUCGUCCUGUAUAUCCUGGUCCGGGCAGUCCAUGGGAAAACACUACACCAAAUCCACCCUUCGGCCGUGUUUCUCCUCGCAUUGUUUCUCCUCGCAUGAUGCCCGGAAGUAGCUUCCGUAUUCCGUCUGCUCCUCCUUUCAUACCGUCUUGUGUCACCCCUCGUACACCUAUACCAAAUGUAGCUCCCUCACCAUUUACACCUCUAGAUAUGCCACCUCCACCACUAUCUCCACCACCAUUACCUGUUUCCGAGCCACCUUCUGUUCCACCGCCCCCAAGUUCUCCUCCGGCACAACCUUCAACUGAUCCUUGUAAUUCACAGAAGCCAUGCCCUCAUCCUCAAUGGCAGGGUUCUCUUACAAAAAGUGGCAUACACUACUGCACAAUAUAUGCAAGUAGAAUAGAGUUGGAUGCCUGUAGAUACGGAAGUACUGUUUCUGAACCAGCAGAAUGGCCCUCAAGAUUAGAUGUUCUAAAGCGCACAGCUUUCCAGCACGCAAAGACAAUCAUCUCCAAUGCUCCACCUAAUAAAAAAGAAGUCUGUCGGUUGUUGCCUUGUUCGAAUGAUGAUCAGAAAGGGUUCCGGGAUUUCAUCUCCUAUCUGAAGCUGAACAAGUACGCCGGGGUCAUAAAGAUUGCUCCUGUGAAGCCCAUGGGGUCGAGGCUGCUAUUUAUCCUUCCUCCCACAUCCGAGGUGUUUGGACUGCUAGGCCUUCCGCCUCAACCGACUGAGUGUCUAAUCGCUGUGGUUCUGCCAAAGGAAACAACCACUGAAGUGUCUUGA
Molecule: ribosomal RNA, 3312 nt
Filed under: Triticum aestivum (bread wheat)
Lineage: Eukaryota; Viridiplantae; Streptophyta; Magnoliopsida; Poales; Poaceae
Description: partial small subunit ribosomal RNA
Source: RNAcentral